Molecule: ribosomal RNA, 240 nt
Filed under: uncultured bacterium
Lineage: Bacteria
Description: partial 16S ribosomal RNA
Rfam family: Bacterial small subunit ribosomal RNA
Source: RNAcentral
CCAGUGGCGAAGGCGUCUAUCUGGUUCAAAUCUGACGCUGAGGCGCGAAGGCGUGGGGAGCAAACAGGAUUAGAUACCCUGGUAGUCCACGCUGUAAACGAUGAAUGUUAAAUAUGGGAAGUUUACUUUCUGUAUUAUAGCUAACGCGUUAAACAUUCCGCCUGGGGACUACGGUCGCAAGAUUAAAACUCAAAGGAAUUGACGGGGACCCGCACAAGCGGUGGAGCAUGUGGUUUAAUU